This 429-nucleotide ribosomal RNA is filed under the name Bacillota bacterium. RNAcentral's name for it is "Firmicutes bacterium partial 16S ribosomal RNA". It matches the Rfam family "Bacterial small subunit ribosomal RNA", at positions 355 to 776 of the family's 1533-position model. Lineage: Bacteria; Bacillati; Bacillota. The record is from RNAcentral.
UAGGGAAUCUUCGGCAAUGGACGGAAGUCUGACCGAGCAACGCCGCGUGAGUGAAGAAGGUUUUUGGAUCGUAAAGCUCUGUUGUUAGAGAAGAACGUUGGUAGGAGUGGAAAAUCUACCAAGUGACGGUAACUAACCAGAAAGGGACGGCUAACUACGUGCCAGCAGCCGCGGUAAUACGUAGGUCCCGAGCGUUGUCCGGAUUUAUUGGGCGUAAAGCGAGCGCAGGCGGUUCUUUAAGUCUGAAGUUAAAGGCAGUGGCUUAACCAUUGUACGCUUUGGAAACUGGAGGACUUGAGUGCAGAAGGGGAGAGUGGAAUUCCAUGUGUAGCGGUGAAAUGCGUAGAUAUAUGGAGGAACACCGGUGGCGAAAGCGGCUCUCUGGUCUGUAACUGACGCUGAGGCUCAAAAACGUGGGGAGCAAACAGG